CAGUAGCCGCGGUAAUACGGAGGGGGCUAGCGUUGUUCGGAAUUACUGGGCGUAAAGCGCACGUAGGCGGCUUUGUAAGUCAGAGGUGAAAGCCCGGGGCUCAACCCCGGAAUUGCCUUUGAGACUGCAUCGCUUGAAUCCAGGAGAGGUGAGUGGAAUUCCGAGUGUAGAGGUGAAAUUCGUAGAUAUUCGGAAGAACACCAGUGGCGAAGGCGACUGACUGGACAAGUAUUGACGCUGAGGUGCGAAAGCGUGGGGAGCAAACAGGAUUAGAUACCCCAGUAGUCCCUGUCUCUUAUAA
RNAcentral lists this ribosomal RNA (301 nucleotides) under uncultured bacterium. RNAcentral's name for it is "partial 16S ribosomal RNA". It matches the Rfam family "Bacterial small subunit ribosomal RNA", at positions 509 to 809 of the family's 1533-position model. The record is from RNAcentral.